UCUCAAGGUGGGUGGCGCAACUACGCUGUAGAUGUCUAUGGGGUCCGGUAACCUCUUAACACUAGGUGGACUGUGAGCUCGCCCAUCCAUAUAGGUUAUUAAAAAAGCACGGUGUUAUUCUUUAUCCAUUGAAGUCGUUCGUGAACACGUAUUUUAAUAUGUACUUAUGCGUCUUCGGAAUUCGAACGCCGGCAUAGUCGGAUCGCUCGAUAAUAGUCGGAUCGCUUUUGGUAAUGACGACUUCAAACAGGUACAUAUCGAGGGGUGAAAGGCUAUUUGGUUUAAGCGACAUUUUUGCAACUUUACAGGAGAGCCAUUUAAAGUUUAAAAUUUUGGAAAAAAAAUCAUAACAAAAAAACUUCUUCAGCAAUUUGAAUGGAGUAAACUUAAUUGAAAUUCAAUUAAAAACAUCAAGUUGUUGAUGCUAAUACCGAAUAAAACGGACCUUUAAUUACAAAGAUAAACGUCGCUUAAUACAAAUUGCCUUAAGCCCUUAUUUUUCAGAGUAUGGAAUAAAGAUUUAAGUGACUUCAUAACCACAAUUGGCUACAGGGGAAAAAAAAUAAGCGACGCUGCAAUAUAUUUUCAGAGUAAGCCAAAAAGCAUGAAGUGACUUAGCCCAAAAUUAAUAGUAGCAAGCUAUUUAUCUCAACUACCAAUUUAGAUUAAAAUGACUGACAGGCGAAUUUACUUAUGUGACAUAUAAUAUUGAAAAUUUACCGUUUGAUGUUACAUUUUUUUACGUCUAAUACUAUCAGUGGCUGUUAAAACAACCUAAAUAUAUCGCAAUCACUUAAAAUCUCAGACAGACGUUUUACGUAAACACUGGCGGCGACUGCGCGUCAUGUCAUUCCUCGAUGCACUCUGGAGUUCGACUGAAGCGCCUGCGCGCGGCAGUCCGGUUGAAAGAUCACGAUUUUUAACUCCCGGGAGAUGAAAUAAAUAUGGUAUCAUGCGACAUGAAUAAAAUGUAUCAUAUUAAAAUUUUAUGAUUGAAAGACC
This is a long non-coding RNA of Bombyx mori (domestic silkworm), 1002 nucleotides long. RefSeq lists it as uncharacterized. The transcript has 2 exons. NCBI's taxonomy places the organism in Eukaryota, Metazoa, Arthropoda, Insecta, Lepidoptera, Bombycidae. The record is from RefSeq and is a predicted model, not a curated record.